GAUGAACGCUGGCGGCGUGCUUAACACAUGCAAGUCGAACGAGGUCCAACCUUCGGGUGAAGACCUAGUGGCGAACGGGUGAGUAACACGUGGGGAACCUGCCCUUCUCUCUGGGAUAACGUCGAGAAAUCGGUGCUAAUACCGGAUACUCCUUGCGGAUCGCAUGGUCUGCUCGGGAAAGCUCCGGCGGAGAUGGAUGGCCCCGCGGCCCAUUAGCUAGUUGGUGAGGUAACGGCCCACCAAGGCGACGAUGGGUAGCCGAGCUGAGAGGCUGGUCGGCCACACUGGGACUGAGACAUGGCCCAGACUCCUACGGGAGGCAGCAGUGGGGAAUUUUGCACAAUGGGCGCAAGCCUGAUGCAGCAACGCCGCGUGCGGGAUGAAGGCCCUCGGGUUGUAAACCGCUUUCAGCAGGGACGAAACUGACGGUACCUGCAGAAGAAGCCCCGGCUAACUACGUGCCAGCCGCCGCCGUAA
RNAcentral lists this ribosomal RNA (477 nucleotides) under uncultured bacterium. Its description in RNAcentral is "partial 16S ribosomal RNA". It matches the Rfam family "Bacterial small subunit ribosomal RNA", at positions 28 to 523 of the family's 1533-position model. The record is from RNAcentral.